RNAcentral lists this long non-coding RNA (256 nucleotides) under Brassica napus (rape). RNAcentral describes it as "long non-coding RNA (BNAP_LNC026830)". Lineage: Eukaryota; Viridiplantae; Streptophyta; Magnoliopsida; Brassicales; Brassicaceae. The record is from RNAcentral.
UAUUAAACAUGUCGUGAAUUUUAUAAUAAAUGUAGUUGGAAGGGAUUAAUUAAUAUAAUCGGGUAAACGGAUACGAACCUUUUUUCUUAGAAUAUGCAUCAAAGACUCUUUUUAUAGGCAUAUGUAUCAUGUAUGCCCAACAUCAUGUGUGUAAUAUGUCUAUGCAUGUGCACUUUUUUUGUGUAACAGUCUAUGGCACACAUAUAUGAAUAAAAGGACAUGUACCUUAAUAUAUAUGCUUAUAGAACAUACACAC